This 548-nucleotide ribosomal RNA is filed under the name uncultured Glomeromycotina. RNAcentral describes it as "SSU rRNA". It matches the Rfam family "Eukaryotic small subunit ribosomal RNA", at positions 548 to 1098 of the family's 1831-position model. Lineage: Eukaryota; Fungi; Glomeromycota. The record is from RNAcentral.
UUGGAGGGCAAGUCUGGUGCCAGCAGCCGCGGUAAUUCCAGCUCCAAUAGCGUAUAUUAAAGUUGUUGCAGUUAAAAAGCUCGUAGUUGAAUUUCGAGAUCAAUUUGUCGGUCGUGCCUCGGUACGUACUGGCAUUAUCGAUUUCCCCCUUCUGAAGAACCGCGAUGUCAUUAAUUUGGUGUCGUGGGGAAUCAGGACUGUUACUUUGAAAAAAUUAGAGUGUUUAAAGCAGGCGCACGCUUGAAUACAUUAGCAUGGAAUAAUGAAAUAGGACGUUUGAUUCUAUUUUGUUGGUUUCUAGGAUCGACGUAAUGAUUAAUAGGGAUAGUUGGGGGCAUUAGUAUUCAAUUGUCAGAGGUGAAAUUCUUGGAUUUAUUGAAGACUAACUACUGCGAAAGCAUUUGCCAAGGAUGUUUUCAUUAAUCAAGAACGAAAGUUAGGGGAUCGAAGACGAUUAGAUACCGUCGUAGUCUUAACCAUAAACUAUGCCGACUAGGGAUCGGAUGAUGUUAAUCUUUUAAUGACUCAUUCGGCGCCUUACGGGAAAC